AGCCGCCGCGGUAAUACCAGCACCCCGAGUGGUCGGGACGAUUAUUGGGCCUAAAGCAUCCGUAGCCGGUUCUGCAAGUCUUCCGUUAAAUCCACCUGCUUAACAGUUGGGCUGCGGGGGAUACUACAGCGCUAGGAGGCGGGAGAGGCAAGCGGUACUCAUUGGGUAGGGGUAAAAUCCACUGAUCCAUUGAAGACCACCAGUGGCGAAGGCGGCUUGCCAGAACGCGCUCGACGGUGAGGGAUGAAAGCUGGGGGAGCAAACCGGAUUAGAUACCCGGGUAGUCCCAGCUGUAAACGAUGCAGACUCGGUGAUGGGCUGGCUUAGUGCCAACCCGGUGCCGCAGGGAAGCCGUUAAGUUUGCCGCCUGGGGAGUACGGUCGCAAGACUGAAACUUAA
Molecule: ribosomal RNA, 399 nt
Filed under: uncultured archaeon
Lineage: Archaea
Description: bacterial SSU rRNA
Rfam family: Archaeal small subunit ribosomal RNA
Source: RNAcentral